This 263-nucleotide unclassified non-coding RNA is filed under the name Hevea brasiliensis (rubber tree). The record is from RNAcentral. Lineage: Eukaryota; Viridiplantae; Streptophyta; Magnoliopsida; Malpighiales; Euphorbiaceae.
UGCUGAAGAUGAUGAUGCUGGGUGCUUUGGAUCUAGAAAGAGAUUUAAGCCAGGCCUUUCUAUACACACAGCUGAGGAAUACAAUGGCAAUCCAGAUGAGUCUGAGAAACAUGUCGAAAACAAAGGGAGCAUUCUGGCAAAAAAUUCCCGGUUGAUGAAGAACUUCAAGAAAUUGGAGGUGGCUUAUUUCAUGACAAGACGUAGGGUUAUCAAACCGACAGGCAAAUCACUAUAUAGACAUUCUCAGGCAAGUACGGAUUGUA